Molecule: ribosomal RNA, 253 nt
Filed under: uncultured bacterium
Lineage: Bacteria
Description: partial 16S ribosomal RNA
Rfam family: Bacterial small subunit ribosomal RNA
Source: RNAcentral
UACGUAGGUGGCAAGCGUUGUCCGGAUUUACUGGGCGUAAAGAGCGCGCAGGCGGUCAGAUAAGUCGAAUGUGAAAGCCCCCGGCUCAACUGGGGAGGGUCAUUCGAUACUGUUCGACUCGAAGGCAGGAGAGGGAAGCGGAAUUCCCGGUGCAGUGGUGAAAUGCGUAGAUAUCGGGAGGAACACCAGUGGCGAAGGCGGCUUCCUGGCCUGUUCUUGACGCUGAGGCGCGAAAGCUAGGGGAGCAAACAGG